This 75-nucleotide transfer RNA is filed under the name Sphaerodactylus townsendi. Its description in RNAcentral is "tRNA-Ala". It matches the Rfam family "tRNA". Rfam says of the family: Transfer RNA (tRNA) molecules are approximately 80 nucleotides in length. Their secondary structure includes four short double-helical elements and three loops (D, anti-codon, and T loops). The record is from RNAcentral. Lineage: Eukaryota; Metazoa; Chordata; Lepidosauria; Squamata; Sphaerodactylidae.
GGAGAGGCUGUGGCCCAGGGGCAGGGCAUCUACUUGGCAUGCAGAAGGUCCCAGGUUCAAUCCUCGGUAUCUCCG